Molecule: ribosomal RNA, 497 nt
Filed under: uncultured bacterium
Lineage: Bacteria
Description: partial 16S ribosomal RNA
Rfam family: Bacterial small subunit ribosomal RNA
Source: RNAcentral
GAUGAACGCUGGCGGCGUGCCUAAUACAUGCAAGUCGAGCGAACAGACGAGGAGCUUGCUCCUCUGACGUUAGCGGCGGACGGGUGAGUAACACGUGGAUAACCUACCUAUAAGACUGGGAUAACUUCGGGAAACCGGAGCUAAUACCGGAUAAUAUAUUGAACCGCAUGGUUCAAUAGUGAAAGACGGUUUUGCUGUCACUUAUAGAUGGAUCCGCGCCGCAUUAGCUAGUUGGUAAGGUAACGGCUUACCAAGGCAACGAUGCGUAGCCGACCUGAGAGGGAGAUCGGCCACACUGGAACUGAGACACGGUCCAGACUCCUACGGGAGGCAGCAGUAGGGAAUCUUCCGCAAUGGGCGAAAGCCUGACGGAGCAACGCCGCGUGAAUGAUGAAGGUCUUCGGAUCGUAAAACUCUGUUAUUAGGGAAGAACAAAUGUGUAAGUAACUAUGCACGUCUUGACGGUACCUAAUCAGAAAGCCACGGCUAACUACGUG